UUGAGAGUUUGAUCCUGGCUCAGAAUGAACGCUGGCGGUAUGCUUUAUACAUGCAAGUCGAACGAUUCUUCUUGAAUAGUGGCGAACGGAUGAGUAACGCGUGAGAAUUUGCCCUUAGGUGGGGGAUAACAAUUAGAAAUGAUUGCUAAUACCCCAUAGGCUGAGAAGUUAAAGAAUUUCGCCUAUGGAUAAGCUCGCGUCUGAUUAGCUAGUUGGUGGGGUAAUGGCUUACCAAGGCAACGAUCGGUAACUGGUUUGAGAGGACGACCAGUCAUACUGGGACUGAGACACGGCCCAGACUCCUACGGGAGGCAGCAGUAGGGAAUUUUCCGCAAUGGGCGAAAGCCUGACGGAGCAAUACCGCGUGGAGGAAGAAGGCUUUUGGGUUGUAAACUUCUUUUCUCAAGGAAGAAAAAAUGACGGUACUUGAGGAAUAAGCACCGGCUAACUCCGUGCCAGCAGCCGCGGUAAUACGGGGGGUGCAAGUGUUAUUCGGAAUUAUUGGGCGUAAAGCGUCUGUAGGUGGCAUAGUAAGUCCUGUGUUAAAUCUCGAAGCUUAACUUCGAAAUGGCAUAGGAAACUACUAAGCUUGAGUUCGGUAGGGGUAAAGGGAAUUCCCAGUGUAGCGGUGAAAUGCGAAGAGAUUGGGAGGAACACCAACGGCGAAAGCACUUUACUAGGCCGAAACUGACACUCAGAGACGAAAGCUAAGGUAGCGAACAGGAUUAGAUACCCUGGUAGUCCACACCGUAAACGAUGAAUGCCAGUCGUCGGGUAGCAUGCUAUUCGGUGACACACCUAACGGAUUAAGCAUUCCGCCUGGGGAGUACGGUCGCAAGAUUAAAACUCAAAGGAAUUGACGGGGGCCCGCACAAGCGGUGGAGCAUGUGGUUUAAUUCGAUGCAACGCGAAGAACCUUACCUACUCUUGACAUCCAGAAAAUUUGGCAGAGAUGCCUCAGUGCCUUCGGGAAUUCUGAGACAGGUGCUGCAUGGCUGUCGUCAGCUCGUGUCGUGAGAUGUUCGGUUAAGUCCGGCAACGAGCGCAACCCACAUCUUUAGUUGCCAGCAGUUCGGCUGGGCACUCUAAAGAAACUGCCCGUGAUAAGCGGGAGGAAGGUGUGGAUGACGUCAAGUCCUCAUGGCCCUUACGGGUUGGGCUACACACGUGCUACAAUGGCAAGUACAGUGGGUUAAUCCCCAAAACUUGUCUCAGUUCGGAUUGGGGUCUGCAACUCGACCCCAUGAAGUCGGAAUCGCUAGUAAUCGCGUAACAGCAUGACGCGGUGAAUACGUUCCCGGGCCUUGUACACACCGCCCGUCACACCAUGGGAGUGGGAUGCAAAAGAAGU
This 1351-nucleotide ribosomal RNA is filed under the name Eutreptiella gymnastica. Its description in RNAcentral is "partial Bacterial small subunit ribosomal RNA". It matches the Rfam family "Bacterial small subunit ribosomal RNA". The record is from RNAcentral. Lineage: Eukaryota; Euglenozoa; Euglenophyceae; Eutreptiales; Eutreptiaceae.